GACGAACGCUGGCGGCGUGCUUAACACAUGCAAGUCGAACGGAAAGGCCCGGCUUUUGUGGGGUGCUCGAGUGGCGAACGGGGGAGUAACACGUGAGUAACCUGCCCUUUACUUUGGGAUAACUUCAGGAAACUUGGGCUCAUACCGGGUAGGAUCUCCUGCUGCAUGGUGGGGGUUGGACAGUUUCGGCGGUUGGGGAUGGACUCGCGGCUUAUCAGCUUGUUGGUUGGGUAGUGGCUUACCAAGGCUUUGACGGGUAGCCGGCCUGAGAGGGUGACCGGACACAUUGGGACUGAGGUACGGCACAGCCCACUACCGGACGCAGCAGUGGGGAAUAGUACACAAUGGGCGGAAGCCAGAUGCAGCAACGCCGCGUGCGGGAUGACGGGCUUCGGGUUGUAAACCGCUUUCGCCUGUGACGAAGCGUGAGUGACGGUAAUGGGUAAAGAAGCACCGGCUAACUACGUG
RNAcentral lists this ribosomal RNA (468 nucleotides) under uncultured bacterium. RNAcentral describes it as "partial 16S ribosomal RNA". It matches the Rfam family "Bacterial small subunit ribosomal RNA", at positions 28 to 507 of the family's 1533-position model. The record is from RNAcentral.